Molecule: RNA transcript, 2044 nt
Organism: Erpetoichthys calabaricus (reedfish)
Lineage: Eukaryota; Metazoa; Chordata; Cladistia; Polypteriformes; Polypteridae
Exons: 8
Source: RefSeq, a predicted model, not a curated record
AAGCUUUCUAGUCAGACAAAUUCGACACAGAAACAUGCUUCGCUUCAAGAAGGACAAUGGCAACAUUCAGUUAUAUGUUGCUCUUAUCUGUCACACUGGAUAUUUUUCAGACUGUUAUCCUUGGAAAGUCUGGAGUGGUCACUAAUGUCACAUGUUCAUUAAAAAGUAAUAUUAUCAGAUGGGACUGGACACCCAGUUUUCCAGUGUGCUCUGAAACCAUGGGCACAAAUAUAAAGAUUUUUGAUGUGGCAAAGGGAAAAGUUGCACUGAAAAGAUUCAUCCAUAGACUGAAACUGACUGAGAAUUAUACACUCCAGAUCAGACACCCAAUCUCAAGUGACUCCGGCUUAUUUACUUGCGUUAGCCAUAAUGGUGAAACAAGCAAAACUAAAAUUCAGAUUGAGCCUGGCUGUAUGAAUAAUGUGUUGCUGGAAAAGCAUUCAACAAGCCAUUCACUGACCCUAAAGUGUUCAUUAUGUAAGACCACACCAAUCUAUGAGCUUGACAGAUUUGAAUGGAAAUUAAAUAACACUCCAGUAACAAAUAUAAAGGGUGUCACCGUAUCAAAGAACGGAGACAUCUUGGAAAUACAAAGCACUCAAAAAGCCAGUCCCGGAAAGUGGAUUUGCAUCUUUUCUCCAAAUACCUUAUGGUUUGCAGAAUAUUGUAUGGAUGAAGAUAAGGAAGACAAGGAAAUUGAUACGGGUAAUAGGAUCAAUGGUCUACAGGUUCUGCAGAUUGUGGGUAUCGUACUUCUGGCCAUAAUCCUGAUAUUAGCUGUAAUUGUAAUUGCGUUCCUGUAUAAUAAAUUUACUGUCAGAAAAGGAGAAACAUAUCAAGUCACAAAAGAUGACAAUGCAGAGAUUGCAAUGAUACCAUCAGAUGCUUCAAGGACCGACCCCAUGUUGGAGGCUCCAUCAGAACUAAACUACAUGACUAUUAUGUUUUCAGAAAACCAAGCUACUACAGUUGCAUUGGGAAGCCCAAAUGUUUAUGCUUCUCUCAAAGUUAAAUAAUGAACUCUCUUCAAGGUUUACCAGAACACGUUACUCAAUGGGGGUGGCAUUUUAACUUUGAACUUGUACAGCUGAUUGUGCCACAGACCCGAAUUAAGACAAGUUAACAGCAUCCUCCCUGUUGCAAUAUCUCAUUGAGGCAGCGCUGUAUGGUAGACUACUGCUGCAAUUGCCCGAGCUUACUCAGGCUCAGGAUGUCUCAUCUUAAGUAUUGAUUGUCUAUUUAUAUUAUCUUUUUCCCUGUUAGUUUCUGUAAGUUCUCCCCAUCAAAAGCAAAACUUUAGAUUCUGUGGAGAACCACAUGAAAAACAUGGCCUGUAUGUGGCAGUGUCUUUGAUAUACAGCUUUCUAGAAUGCAUCACCAUCAGCUACUGAAUCCUAACUGAAAACAACUACACAAAUUGCACACAUUAUUUUGUUAUGUUUAUGCUUAUCACUUACAUCAACUUGCAAGAGCCCAUGCUGUUUGAAAAAUUAUAAUAGCACUUGCUUGGUAAUAGCAAAGUAAUAAUCAUCUGCCUAAGUAAGUGAAAAGGGUAAACAAAAAUCAAUAAGUGGGAGUGAGGAACAAGUGGAAAAUUAAAAAAAAAAAAUACAAAAGGUGGCUUUUAAAUUAAUUGUAACCUGUGAGUUUAUUUUAAACAUUUUUGUGCAGUGUGAAUGAUCAAUUGUCUGCAUGCUAGAUUCACUAGAUUUGGAAUUACUGUGCUGCAUUAAACGGCCGAGUGUCCACACUCUGCUUUGUUUAAAGUAUGAUCAGCUCUCUGCUAAGGAGCUCCACUCCUCAAAUUACCCAGGGGCUUGUUGGGAUCUUCAUCUCGCCAUGGUUACCACACUGGGUGGCGCCAACCCUAGUGAUGCCAAUGGUUCAAACGCAUCAUCUUCAUGGGCUGCCAUGUUAUUAUUUCUUGACAUGCCAUCAAUAGUUCUUGUACAAAAUCGUACAUAUUUAAUGCGAAGUAUUGUUUAAAAUAUAUAUUUUUUGUAUGUAUGUUUAUUACCACUUCUGCUACUAAAAAUCAUACUAA